RNAcentral lists this ribosomal RNA (1149 nucleotides) under uncultured bacterium. RNAcentral's name for it is "bacterial SSU rRNA". It matches the Rfam family "Bacterial small subunit ribosomal RNA", at positions 357 to 1497 of the family's 1533-position model. The record is from RNAcentral.
GGGGAAUUUGGACAAUGGGCGCAAGCCUGAUCCAGCCAUUCCGCGUGCAGGAUGAAGGCCUUCGGGUUGUAAACUGCUUUUGUACGGAACGAAACGGCCUUUCUCUAAUACAGGAGGCUAAUGACGGUACCGUAAGAAUAAGCACCGGCAACUACGUGCCAGCAGCCGCGGUAAUACGUAGGGUGCGAGCGUUAAUCGGAAUUACUGGGCGUAAAGCGUGCGCAGGCGGUUGUGUAAGACAGGUGUGAAAUCCCCGGGCUUAACCUGGGAACUGCGCUUGUGACUGCACGACUGGAGUACGGCAGAGGGGGGUGGAAUUCCUGGUGUAGCAGUGAAAUGCGUAGAUAUGUGGAGGAACACCGAUGGCGAAGGCAGCCCCCUGGGCCGAUACUGACGCUCAUGCACGAAAGCGUGGGUAGCAAACAGGAUUAGAUACCCUGGUAGUCCACGCCCUAAACGAUGUCAACUAGGUGUUGGGUGGGUAAAACCAUUUAGUACCGGAGCUAACGCGUGAAGUUGACCGCCUGGGGAGUACGGCCGCAAGGUUAAAACUCAAAGGAAUUGACGGGGACCCGCACAAGCGGUGGAUGAUGUGGAUUAAUUCGAUGCAACGCGAAAAACCUUACCUACCCUUGACAUGUCCAGAAGCUCUUAGAGAUUUGAGUGUGCCCGAAAGGGAGCUGGAACACAGGUGCUGCAUGGCUGUCGUCAGCUCGUGUCGUGAGAUGUUGGGUUAAGUCCCGCAACGAGCGCAACCCUUGUCGUUAAUUGCCAUCAUUUAGUUGGGCACUUUAACGAGACUGCCGGUGACAAACCGGAGGAAGGUGGGGAUGACGUCAAGUCCUCAUGGCCCUUAUGGGUAGGGCUUCACACGUCAUACAAUGGUCGGUACAGAGGGUUGCCAAGCCGCGAGGUGGAGCCAAUCCCAGAAAGCCGAUCGUAGUCCGGAUUGCAGGCUGCAACUCGCCUGCAUGAAGUCGGAAUCGCUAGUAAUCGCGGAUCAGAAUGUCGCGGUGAAUACGUUCCCGGGUCUUGUACACACCGCCCGUCACACCAUGGGAGCGGGUUCUGCCAGAAGUAGGUAGCCUAACCGUAAGGAGGGCGCUUACCACGGCAGGGUUCGUGACUGGGGUGAAGUCGUAACAAGGU